GCCCUUUGUUUUCAAUUUUUAUAGAUUUCCUCCCCAAAUUCCUGGGAUUUAAAAAAAACAUUAUUUUCACCAAAUUUGGGAUGCUCCAGAACUUCCUGGACUUAGCUCCCCAUUCCAGAAGGAAAGAUGACAGCUCAGUCGCCUCUCAUGAUGUUCCUGCUCAGAAGAGGGUAACUGCUAUGCUGCAGUGGGGGCGCGAGAUGCGCAAGGUCACCUGACUGCUGCAGCAACAGACCCACAAGGAGAAAAAGGUUUCUUCAACUGCUACAUCACAAUGAAUACCAGGCAACCCCCACCAGUCCCACUUGCCUCCCCCCAUGAGUACUAGGCAUCUGCCACCUGCUGCUUUCCUUGAGUGCUGAUUGAAACUUUCAGCCAUCACAUGAAGUGCAGAAGAAAUGGGAAUCCUGUUCUUCAACAGACAGAACGUUCUCUAACAAAGGUGUGUGGCAUUUUGAUCAAUAAUGUCUCUGUGGAACUUUAGCACAAAGCACAUCUGGGGAAAGUCCAGAAAAAAAACAAAUCUUUUCAUGUCCUUUUUGCCGGUCAGUGAGCAGGAUACGCUCGGAAAGGCUUUCCAAAGACCUUAACGCAGAGCUGCCAAGGAAAUGGAAAGCUACUGUCACUCAUAAUAUGUCCCUGGAAGCUCUUUAGAGCAAGCUAUCAUUCUGGAAAGUCAUUGUGCUGUUUGAUCUCCCAUUGCAAAAGGGUGGCCUCUACUGAUAAAUGUCAUGAUUAUUUUUGUAUUAGACUCCCCAUUGUGGCUCUGAAUGAAAACAGGGCUAAACUGGAAAGUGAAUUCCAUGUGCACAUGGCGAUGCUUUCCUCCAGACAAGAGUGACAUCACUCCAUUGGAAAUUUGGAAAACCCACUGCAUCGAAUUCCCAAAGCUGAGCCAUGCUGCUUCUCACAUCCUCACUGUCCUGCCUGGCUCAGCUAAUGUGGAGAGAAUAUUUUUCUGAAUUCAGCUACAUCCAGGACUGCAGGAGGAUGAACCUUGGAAAAGACACUGAAAUAACUUGUUGUGCGGCUACACCACACAGGUCUUUUGGAAUUCACACUGAAGCCCCUUCUAUCAAGACUGCCAAGCCACUCCAGAACCUAGGUGUGUUUGGAUCUGAGGCUUCAUUCAGAAUUGUCCUCUCCUCUCUCAGCCAUCUUGCAUGUUCUGCCCUUCUUCGGCUUCAAGAUCCUGGCAGAGCAGGCUGUCAGCCUGCAUAGGGAAGGGAAAAACCUCUGUCUCUGUGAUAUCCUCAUUUGAACCAGCUCAGCUAUAAGGUAAAUCGAUGCUAUUAUGUUCUGUAGAAUACUGUACUUCUGAAGGAGCGAUCUUCUGUGUGGG
RNAcentral lists this long non-coding RNA (1342 nucleotides) under Gopherus agassizii (Agassiz's desert tortoise). Its description in RNAcentral is "lncRNA (ENSGAGG00000013191.1)". Lineage: Eukaryota; Metazoa; Chordata; Testudines; Testudinidae. The record is from RNAcentral.